RNAcentral lists this ribosomal RNA (751 nucleotides) under uncultured Halobellus sp. Its description in RNAcentral is "bacterial SSU rRNA". It matches the Rfam family "Archaeal small subunit ribosomal RNA", at positions 54 to 805 of the family's 1478-position model. Lineage: Archaea; Methanobacteriati; Methanobacteriota; Halobacteria; Halobacteriales; Haloferacaceae. The record is from RNAcentral.
CUAGUCGCACGAGUUCACACUCGUGGCGGAUAGCUCAGUAACACGUGGCCAAACUACCCUACAGAGCGGGACAACCUCGGGAAACUGAGGCUAAUCCCGCAUACCGCUCUCAGGUUUGAACAACAGAGAGUUCCAAACGCGACAGCGCUGUAGGAUGUGGCUGCGGCCGAUUAGGUAGACGGUGGGGUAACGGCCCACCGUGCCCAUAAUCGGUACGGGUUGUGAGAGCAAGAGCCCGGAGACGGUAUCUGAGACAAGAUACCGGGCCCUACGGGGCGCAGCAGGCGCGAAACCUUUACACUGCACGCAAGUGCGAUAAGGGGACUCCGAGUGCGAGGGCAUAUCGUCCUCGCUUUCGUGUACCGUAGGGAGGUACACAAACAAGAGCUGGGCAAGACCGGUGCCAGCCGCCGCGGUAAUACCGGCAGCUCGAGUGAUGGCCGAUCUUAUUGGGCCUAAAGCGUCCGUAGCUGGCCUCGCAAGUCCGUCGGGAAAUCCACGCGCUCAACGUGUGGGCGUCCGGCGGAAACUCCGAGGCUUGGGACCGGAAGGCUCGAGGGGUACGUCCGGGGUAGGAGUGAAAUCCCGUAAUCCCGGACGGACCACCGAUGGCGAAAGCACCUCGAGAAGACGGAUCCGACAGUGAGGGACGAAAGCUAGGGUCUCGAACCGGAUUAGAUACCCGGGUAGUCCUAGCCGUAAACGAUGCUCGCUAGGUGUGGCACAGGCUACGCGCCUGUGCUGUGCCGUA